UGGGGAAUUUUGGACAAUGGGCGAAAGCCUGAUCCAGCAAUGCCGCGUGUGUGAAGAAGGCCUUCGGGUUGUAAAGCACUUUUGUCCGGAAAGAAAUCCUUGGCUCUAAUACAGUCGGGGGAUGACGGUACCGGAAGAAUAAGCACCGGCUAACUACGUGCCAGCAGCCGCGGUAAUACGUAGGGUGCAAGCGUUAAUCGGAAUUACUGGGCGUAAAGCGUGCGCAGGCGGUUUGCUAAGACCGAUGUGAAAUCCCCGGGCUCAACCUGGGAACUGCAUUGGUGACUGGCAGGCUAGAGUAUGGCAGAGGGGGGUAGAAUUCCACGUGUAGCAGUGAAAUGCGUAGAGAUGUGGAGGAAUACCGAUGGCGAAGGCAGCCCCCCUGGGCCAAUACUGACGCUCAUGCACGAAAGCGUGGGGAGCAAACAGGAUUAGAUACCCUGGUAGUCCACGCCCUAAACGAUGUCAACUAGUUGUUGGGGACUUCAUUUCCUUAGUAACGUAGCUAACGCGUGAAGUUGACCGCCUGGGGAGUACGGUCGCAAGAUUAAAACUCAAAGGAAUUGACGGGGUC
RNAcentral lists this ribosomal RNA (574 nucleotides) under uncultured bacterium. RNAcentral's name for it is "partial 16S ribosomal RNA". It matches the Rfam family "Bacterial small subunit ribosomal RNA", at positions 355 to 920 of the family's 1533-position model. The record is from RNAcentral.